Molecule: transfer RNA, 74 nt
Filed under: Hydrogenovibrio marinus
Lineage: Bacteria; Pseudomonadati; Pseudomonadota; Gammaproteobacteria; Thiotrichales; Piscirickettsiaceae
Rfam family: tRNA
About the family: Transfer RNA (tRNA) molecules are approximately 80 nucleotides in length. Their secondary structure includes four short double-helical elements and three loops (D, anti-codon, and T loops). Further hydrogen bonds mediate the characteristic L-shaped molecular structure. tRNAs have two regions of fundamental functional importance: the anti-codon, which is responsible for specific mRNA codon recognition, and the 3' end, to which the tRNAs corresponding amino acid is attached (by aminoacyl-tRNA synthetases). tRNAs cope with the degeneracy of the genetic code in two manners: having more than one tRNA (with a specific anti-codon) for a particular amino acid; and 'wobble' base-pairing, i.e. permitting non-standard base-pairing at the 3rd anti-codon position.
Source: Rfam by way of RNAcentral
CGGAGUAUAGCGCAGCCUGGUAGCGCACUUGUUUUGGGUACAAGUGGUCGGGGGUUCAAAUCCCUCUACUCCGA